This 429-nucleotide ribosomal RNA is filed under the name Chloroflexota bacterium. RNAcentral's name for it is "Chloroflexi bacterium partial 16S ribosomal RNA". It matches the Rfam family "Bacterial small subunit ribosomal RNA", at positions 355 to 776 of the family's 1533-position model. Lineage: Bacteria; Bacillati; Chloroflexota. The record is from RNAcentral.
UGGGGAAUAUUGCACAAUGGGCGCAAGCCUGAUGCAGCCAUGCCGCGUGUGUGAAGAAGGCCUUCGGGUUGUAAAGCACUUUCAGCGGGGAGGAAGGCGUUAAGGUUAAUAACCUUGGCGAUUGACGUUACCCGCAGAAGAAGCACCGGCUAACUCCGUGCCAGCAGCCGCGGUAAUACGGAGGGUGCAAGCGUUAAUCGGAAUUACUGGGCGUAAAGCGCACGCAGGCGGUUUGUUAAGUCAGAUGUGAAAUCCCCGGGCUCAACCUGGGAACUGCAUCUGAUACUGGCAAGCUUGAGUCUCGUAGAGGGGGGUAGAAUUCCAGGUGUAGCGGUGAAAUGCGUAGAGAUCUGGAGGAAUACCGGUGGAGAAGGCGGCCCCCUGGACGAAGACUGACGCUCAGGUGCGAAAGCGUGGGGAGCAAACAGG